AGAGAUGAUAUUGCACCUUAUUUACUACAGGAUGGUCACUGUCUUCCAAUUGGGAUUAUUUCACCUUUAUAGUAUAGACAUAUUCAGACAAACAAUGAGUAAAGACGUACAAGACUCACAGGUAAUUUUACAUUUUUAUUGCUUAAACUGCCAUCUGGAACAAUCUAUACCAAAAGGAUAAACAUCUUUGCACAUACAGGAAGUCAAACAGAGUACAGUCAUUGGGUAGAAUAGAAAAAGAAUGGUCCUCAGAUGACCUGCAGCUCUCAGAGCCUGCUGCAGGCCCCGCAAACUUGCUGAAGGUCAGGCUAGCAGGAGUGUCUAUGCCCGGGUUACAUAAGCUAAGGCAAACCGGGUGGAUUGCAGUGUGCCUACUAGUGAGCACUAAUCUUGUGAUGUGUAUACCAUAUCAGUACUUCUAUGUGAAGAAACACCAGCAAACCACUGGUGGGUUGUGAUCUGUCAGCAAAUAGACACCUGCAAUAUUCCAGAACAUCAACCAUCUGAAAGCAAUACAAAAGUUUUGGACCAAGUAGGCAACACUGCAAUCGACUCAGUAUCAUGUUGAUUGGUUUUCAACAUACAUACGGUUACACAAGUCCAUCCAUCCAUCCAUCCAGUCAGCCACACUGUUUUGUACAUAAGAUUAAAAUUGGAAACAUGACAGAACCUCAGAAAGGGAUAAAAGCAUUACCGUAUGUAAGGGUCCUUUCUGUUAGAAAGGGGUGAGGGGCAAGCUGUGAGGCAGGAAUGAACAGGAACACAACUUAGACUAUAGAUUUCUGCAGGAGUUAGAAGAAAAACAGCUAAUGACAUGUGUUCUUAAGAUUCAAGGGGUGAAGCCGGUAGUGAAUGACCACCUGUUUGAUCGACAGGGGCAGUUUGAGAAUACCAUUUCAUUACUUUACACUAUGCUGUAGGUAGGCAUAGAGUAGAUAAAUCAUUUUCACUAUGCUUUAACAGCGAAGCUGCUUUCAAAUAAAAUAUAUAAUCAGGACAAUUUAAUCUGAUGUCUGAAUUACCACAGUUGGGAUGCUUUCUAACGCUUUUUAACUUUUGCACUCAAAUACAGAAAUAAUUGUCUUAAAACCAUCUACAAUUCAAAUGUAUAUGAAUGACUUUAAAGCCCUUUCGCCUACUUAAGAGGUUAACCCAUGACUUUGUCACAAUACAACAUACUGUUUUGUCGGUUGACAAGAAGAAGCAUUUAUUUACGCUGUGGCACUGAACACCUAAAAUAGAAUUUAUGGAAAAAUAAGCAUUUACAAAAAGACAUUUAAAGGUACUUAACUUUACCAUCACUCCAAACCAUAGCCAUAACAUUAGUUUGUUCAGUCAAUAAAGAACUUUAAUAGUCAUAAUAAUAAUAAUUCUGUUUAAAAACAUAGCGAUUAAGUUAUUUGGUGUAUACUGAAAUGCUGAAUACUGAAAACCAUUUAAUAAUAUUUUUCACCUCUAUUGUAGCCAAUAAUGUACCAACAAAUCAGAGGUGAGUGUUAACAUGGGGAUACUUCCUGUUUUGAGUUGCACUGCUUCUGACAGAAUAAGAAUCUUCUAUGCGUUCUGUGUUAUGAAAACAAUUACUAACAUUUAGCUCUAGUUUGGUAGCUUUCCAACAGACAACUUUCUGGUUGCAUUAAGUUGUACAAACUCUCUCAAACUAGAUAAAAUAACAGUGAAUUGGAUUGAUGGACCAAUCAAUGGAAACAAUAUGAGAAAAUGUAAAAAUGUCUGCAAUUUAAUGUACAGUAACAAUGGAGGAUAACCAUUCGUUAUCACUGCAUGAAAGCUACAUAAGUAAUUAGAUGCAAUCAUUAUGCUCCCAGCAUUCUUGUAAUUCUAAAAAGUACAAUUUUAUGAAUUAUUUUGUAAGGAUGUCAACAUUGACACAUUUUUAUUGGAACUGAACUAGUUAAAAAUAUCUGAACAAUAUUCAGCAUGGACGCUUACUUCACCAUGUUACGUUUGAUUGUCCCAUCUGAUCAUUGGCCUGUCCUAACCUCGGCCAAUCCCCUACUAAUCACUGCUCGUGUUUAAACUAUAGGAAAACAAUUCUAGAUUCAGUGAAUGCAGUGAAAGCAUACCAUAUGAAUUUGGUACAUUUAAACUGUAACAUAACUGUGCUCCUAUAGGUGACUAUGAUAGCUAGGUGAUGGGCAGCAUAACAUUUAGAAAAAAAAUCAAAGUAAAUGGAAGAUAAUUUUAAGUGACAUUGAAGCAAAAUUGCAUUGGUGGACCCCUGGUUCUAAAGGAGGAGGCGUUAUGGGGUUACAUCAGGGAUUAGGGGGUGGGUACAGGAGGCGUUAUGGGGUUACAUAGGGGAUUAGGGGGUGGGUACAGGAGGCGUUAUAGGGUUACAUAGGGGAUGGGUACAGGAGGCGUUAUAGGGUUACAUAGGGGAUGGGUACAGGAGGCGUUAUAGGGUUACAUAGGGGAUGGGUACAGGAGGCGUUAUAGGGUUACAUAGGGGAUGGGUACAGGAGGCGUUAUGGGUUACAUAGGGGAUGGGUACAGGAGGCGUUAUGGGGUUACAUAGGGGAUGCGUACAGGAGGCGUUAUGGGGUUACAUAGGGGAUGGGUACAGGAGGCGUUAUGGGGUUACAUAGGGGAUGGGUACAGGAGGCGUUAUGGGGUUACAUAGGGGAUGGGUACAGGAGGCGUUAUGGGGUUACAUAGGGGAUGGGUACAGGAGGCGUUAUGGGGUUACAUAGGGGUGGGUACAGGAGGCGUUAUGGGGUUACAUAGGGGUGGGUACAGGAGGCGUUAUGGGGUUACAUAGGGGGUGGGUACAGGAGGCGUUAUGGGGUUACAUAGGGGUGGGUACAGGAGGCGUUAUGGGGUUACAUAGGGGGUGGGUACAGGAGCGUUAUGGGGUUACAUAGGGGUGGGUACAGGAGGCGUUAUGGGGUUACAUAGGGGGUGGGUACAGGAGGCGUUAUGGGGUUACAUAGGGGGUGGGUACAGGAGGCGUUAUGGGGUUACAUAGGGGUGGGUACAGGAGGCGUUAUGGGGUUACAUAGGGGAUGGGUACAGGAGGCGUUAUGGGGUUACAUAGGGGAUGGGUACAGGAGGCGUUAUGGGGUUACAUAGGGGAUGCGUUAUGGGGUUACAUAGGGGAUUAGGGGGUGGGUACAGGAUGCGUUAUGGGGUUACAUAGGGAUUGGCUACAGGAUGUGUUAUGGGGUUACAUAGGG
Oncorhynchus tshawytscha (Chinook salmon) is the source of this 3194-nucleotide long non-coding RNA. The record is from Ensembl. NCBI's taxonomy places the organism in Eukaryota, Metazoa, Chordata, Actinopteri, Salmoniformes, Salmonidae.